Molecule: ribosomal RNA, 301 nt
Filed under: uncultured bacterium
Lineage: Bacteria
Description: partial 16S ribosomal RNA
Rfam family: Bacterial small subunit ribosomal RNA
Source: RNAcentral
CAGUCGCCACGGUAAUACGUAGGGUGCAAGCGUUAAUCGGAAUUACCGGGCGUAAAGCGUGCGCAGGCGGUUUGUUAAGACAGAUGUGAAAUCCCCGGGCUCAACCUGGGAACUGCAUUUGUGACUGGCAAGCUAGAGUGUGUCAGAGGAUGGUGGAAUUCCCGGUGUAGCGGUGAAAUGCGUAGAGAUCGGGAGGAACAUCAGUGGCGAAGGCGGCCAUCUGGGACAACACUGACGCUGAGGCACGAAAGCGUGGGGAGCAAACAGGAUUAGAUACCCCUGUAGUCCCUGUCUCUUAUAA